Amblyraja radiata (thorny skate) is the source of this 453-nucleotide long non-coding RNA. RefSeq lists it as uncharacterized. The record is from RefSeq and is a predicted model, not a curated record. Lineage: Eukaryota; Metazoa; Chordata; Chondrichthyes; Rajiformes; Rajidae. The transcript has 2 exons.
GUGGGAGGAAAUUGAAGAUCUCUGAGAAAACGUACAAACUCCAAACUGUUUUGCAAGUUAUAUUUCCCAUGGUCAUCAGGGAUGGAACGUUAUCUAUUAAGACUGAGGGCAGUGGAGUAGUUAUGGAAAUAAUUCCCCGUUAGGUUUGUUUUCAGUAUUCUUGAUGGUUUAAACCAGCAUCUUCAGUUCCUUCCUACACUCUGUACCUGUGGCCUGUGUUCUAUUGCCUCAGUGCAUUCCGCCCAUUAAAUAAAUUCUGAUAUUUAAUUCUGAUACUAGCACUUGGUCUUUCCUAAUCAAUUAGGAGAAGUCUUGAUUUGGUUCUAAAUGGGGGAACAUUUUGUCCACGUUCAUUACAAUAAUAUUGUUUUGUGUUGCUACUUGUUAAUGCAGAAGAUUCCUAAUAGCUAUCUCUUCAAACUGCAUUAAAUGUAAGACAUGAAUGUUGGGCAA